UCGGGUGAUGGUACUUCAUUAGCUGCCCAAA
Molecule: non-coding RNA, 31 nt
Filed under: Homo sapiens (human)
Lineage: Eukaryota; Metazoa; Chordata; Mammalia; Primates; Hominidae
Source: RNAcentral